AUGUCAGGAUAAGUAUGUCCCAUGCAAUAUUUGGGACAUGCUUGUACUAAAA
This 52-nucleotide microRNA precursor is filed under the name Felis catus (domestic cat). Its description in RNAcentral is "mir-1302 microRNA precursor family". It matches the Rfam family "mir-1302 microRNA precursor family". The record is from Rfam by way of RNAcentral. Lineage: Eukaryota; Metazoa; Chordata; Mammalia; Carnivora; Felidae.